Molecule: long non-coding RNA, 408 nt
Filed under: Glycine max (soybean)
Lineage: Eukaryota; Viridiplantae; Streptophyta; Magnoliopsida; Fabales; Fabaceae
Description: long non-coding RNA (GMAX_LNC003229)
Source: RNAcentral
CCAAUCACCGCCAACACACAACACCAUCACGAUUCGAACAACGUUGUGCACCACUCUAGACUCCAGAUUUGCAUGCGAGCUUGACCCCCUUAGCCUAGCCACUACCGUGCCACUGCAACUCCAUCUGUGUGCGUGAUACCAAUCUUCAAGGAUCCCUGUGCGCGUGACCUCAACCUCUAAGGCUUCGCGUGUGUGUGACUUUCCUAUUGCGCGGUGGUGUUGUGGUGUAUAGAUCUCUUGGUGUGGGGUGUUGUUUGGGUCGUGCGAUGAUGUUGUUGGUGUUUUUUUUUUUCACGGCCCUUCAAGAAAAUAAUGAAAACACAAUUUCAUUGUACAACUAUACAACGAAAUGGUAUUUCUGUUGUUUUUUUUCCACACCCGUUUAGUAAAUAAUGGAAACACGACUCC